UGCUCGAGUGGCGAACGGGUGAGUAACACGUGAGUAACCUGCCCUUGACUUUGGGAUAACUUCAGGAAACUGGGGCUAAUACCGGAUGGGAGCUCCUGCUGCAUGGUGGGGGUUGGAAAGUUUCGGCGGUUGGGGAUGGACUCGCGGCUUAUCAGCUUGUUGGUGGGGUAGUGGCUUACCAAGGCUUUGACGGGUAGCCGGCCUGAGAGGGUGACCGGCCACAUUGGGACUGAGAUACGGCCCAG
RNAcentral lists this ribosomal RNA (245 nucleotides) under uncultured Actinomycetales bacterium. RNAcentral describes it as "partial 16S ribosomal RNA". It matches the Rfam family "Bacterial small subunit ribosomal RNA", at positions 88 to 334 of the family's 1533-position model. Lineage: Bacteria; Bacillati; Actinomycetota; Actinomycetes; Actinomycetales. The record is from RNAcentral.